Molecule: small nucleolar RNA, 128 nt
Filed under: Chinchilla lanigera (long-tailed chinchilla)
Lineage: Eukaryota; Metazoa; Chordata; Mammalia; Rodentia; Chinchillidae
Source: RNAcentral
GUUGAGGUCUGUACUGGUGGUGUUUCCCCGGCUGCACAUCCUUGGAACUACUUCAGAGUAACUCUGUGAUUUUGCUUUACUCACAAAAAUACUUUUUAGGUCUGUGGGGAAAGACUACAUAAACACGU